RNAcentral lists this ribosomal RNA (447 nucleotides) under uncultured bacterium. Its description in RNAcentral is "bacterial SSU rRNA". It matches the Rfam family "Bacterial small subunit ribosomal RNA", at positions 355 to 825 of the family's 1533-position model. The record is from RNAcentral.
UGGGGAAUAUUGGACAAUGGGCGCAAGCCUGAUCCAGCCAUGCCGCGUGAGUGACGAAGGCCUUAGGGUUGUAAAGCUCUUUUGGCGGGGAAGAUAAUGACGGUACCCGCAGAAUAAGCUCCGGCUAACUCCGUGCCAGCAGCCGCGGUAAUACGGAGGGAGCUAGCGUUGUUCGGAAUUACUGGGCGUAAAGCGUACGUAGGCGGUUAUUCAAGUCAGAGGUGAAAGCCCGGGGCUCAACCCCGGAACUGCCUUUGAAACUAGAUAGCUAGAAUCUUGGAGAGGUCAGUGGAAUUCCGAGUGUAGAGGUGAAAUUCGUAGAUAUUAGGAAGAACACCAGUGGCGAAGGCGGCUCACUGGAUCGGUACUGACGCUGAGGUGCGAAAGCGUGGGGAGCAAACAGGAUUAGAUACCCUCGUAGUCCCUGAGCGGGCUGGCAAGGCGCAU